GCUGGACUGUGAUGGGUCAGGCACCACGGCUGAUACAUUUGGUACAUCCUCCAAAUGAUACACGUGUGCAGUGCUUUCUGUUUCCUUUCAUGUUUGCUCCUGGAUGAGAAACCUAUGUCUACUUUGGGGUUCUGAGUAUGAGCAAAUGAACAUCAACAAAACUUCUUAAGGGCAGAACCAACCUGUUGUAAGAGACACAGGAUGCAAAUCUUCCACUGAAAAGAGAUCUAAAUGCGGGAGCAUUGGGAGACUUGAGUGUUGUUUUUACCAGGAAACCAAACUGGAGGAAGAUGAUGGAUAACUGUGAGCAGAAGACCUCGUAUUUAGAUGACUGUUUAUGAUUUACAUUUUAUUCAAAUUCUUAGGAGUUCUUGGAAAUAAACACAGAAAGCUUUGGGAAACCACCAGCUAAAUACCAAUGCCGAUGGAGGACACUUAUCCUACUCUGCUUUGUAUCUGGAUUAUUUGUGGCCAUUUCCAACUCAUUAGGUUCCAAGACCGUUGAGAGUUGUGUCUAAGUUAUGUUAUGUUCUUAGCCCCCAUGGUGCUUCAUAUAAUAUAUAAUAAUCAUUGUGCCUAAACAGACUUUCAUUUAAAGACAAAAGUUUUUUCCCCUAUGUUGGAAAAAAUGAAGAUCUUAUCAGCAGAGGACUCUAGAAGAAGCACACGGUGAAGAUUCAGUGAAUCACAAGAGCAGCAGGAGGAAACAAGAGUCAAAGAGCAACAGUUCAUCAAAGGGCUCAUUUCCUCUCCAUGCAUCGCUUGCCGACAACUCCACAGAACCCAUAACCAUUUCUCCUUCAUUGGUGAACAUAUGUUUUGCUUGUGACCACGUCAAGUAUGCACGGGUUCACAAAUCUACAUGUAUAACAGACUAAUAAACGCUGCUAAUUAUAUUCCCUCCCCAAAAGGCUGCUAACCAUGCAAAUGAGAAGUGCUAAUCCUGUGCAGCAGAACUUGAAAUGACAGCCAAACAGCCCAACCACGCAGCUUGUGAAGGAUGCAGCAUAUGUACUUCUGAAGGAUGGGAGAACUGACAUUUGCAGCAUCCAUAAUUCACCGUUUAGAUUAGAGGGCAGUGGGUAAAUGAGAAAUUACUUUAUGGGAUGUGUCGCAUUUCCCAGGUAGGAAGGGAUUCAUACUGGUGACUAAAGUUGUCUGCUGAAUGACCAAAACAGACUAUCAUAAAAGGUGCCAACACAUUAUUUCAUGGAACCAAAUUUUAUGCAAAGCAUGCCUGAUAAUCAAAGGUGAAACAGAUGCUCACGGCAUUCUGGACAGAGCACCUCCGUUUUAGGCGGAUCUGCUGUGUCACACAGGAAGGCCCUGCAACGCCCCACACCCCCCCCCCCCCCAACGGCCUCACCAGUAAGGGAUUUUGCCCAACGUCAGGAGGCAUGACACUGGUAGAUGCUUUGCAGACACGAACCCAUUCUUGCUACAUAAAUGGCAGGCUUGGCAGGAGCCUUCAGAGCUGGGAAGCGCAGGAGCUCACCUUUUCUUCAAUAGCACAUUUUUCUUUGAGCCAGUGAUUCAGGACUUCAUCUUUGAAUGCACCUGUGUUGCCCACUGUGCUUUGCUGAAUUUUGGCAAUUGUUGUGGCAUCUUUCACGAUCUCAAUCAUCCCUGUGGGAGGGUGUGCAGAAUCUGGUGUAAAUUGGGGCCUGAUGCCUGACCCAGAGGACGAAUGGUUGUGUGUCUUUGUUGACUGGAGGGCAGAGGGCUUUUCAACCAGGGGGGGUAUUUUUUUUUUCUUUUAAAGAUUGUAUUUAUUUACUCAUGAGAGACACAGAAAAAGAGAGGCAGAGACACAGGCAGAGGGAGAAGCAGGUUCCCUGCAGGGAGCCCGAUGCGGGACUGAUCCCAGGACCCCAGGGUCAUGCCCUGAGCUGAAGGCAGAUGCUCAACCACCGAGCCACCCAGGCUCAACCCUCAACCAGGGGGCUGUUUUCCAGGUUUGUGCAGUUGGUUUUCUCAGGAGAGACAGAAAGAAAAGGAGAAUGAGGUGGAACUUUUGUGGGACAUGCUUUCAGUGUCCCUGAGUGAAAAGAGGAAAGGUCGGGUUUGAAAGGUAAUAAGGAAAAGCAUUUAUGCAUAUGUGCUGGGCAAACUGCCUUUUUCUUUUUUAAUCACAGGGUCAAAUGGGAGUGGUUUUAUAUAGUUCUCGGUUCGGAAGCUUGAAUAAAAAUAUGUUUCGCUGAAACAAAACUGUUAAAUGUCUAUAAAAGUAUCUAAGAGUAGAGUAGGUGCUGCACCUGGGUGGCGCAGUUAAGUGUCUGCCUUUGGCUCAGGUCAUGAUCCCCGGGUCCUGGGAUGGAGCCCUGCAUCACACUCCUGGCUCAGCGGGGAGUUGGCUUCUCCCUCUCCCUCCGCCCUUCCCCAGCUCGUGCUCUCUCUCAUUCUCGGUCACACUCUCUCUGUCAAAUAAAUAAAAUCUUUAAAACUUGUUUAAAAAAAGUAGAGUAGGUAAUAGCUUCAAUAAUGUGAAUUCUAAGAUAUUAAAAUAAGUGACAGAUCUUACCAUCUAUUUUUAAAUGUUAUUUGUGAGAGAGAAGUUUAAUGUGCAGUGAAACAAGUUACAGCUUAGACGUGGAGAAGUAAAGGGGAGGGGAUGAGUUCUUACUAAAAUCAUUGCCAUGUAUAGUCACAGGAUUGGAAUCACACAUUAGUGUAUUUUCGACAGAUCCACAUUAAAUCCAGAGUCACAUGCACCAGUCUUGGAACAUUUCCUUCCUUUUUAUUUGGGUAUGUUUGUAAUUUUUCUGUUAUUAAAUGCCUACACUGGGGGACUCAUGAUCCUUUAAAGCGAGCUGAGGGGGAUAUUCAUCUCCUGAGGGAACCACAUACCUAUUUUGUCUCCAGUUGAAAUGCAACCAUAUGGCAGGAGGUACAGAUCCAAAGAUUCUGUCUCCCAAAUGGAUUCCAUGAUUCGUAGAAUCUAGACAUCAGACACAAAGGCGUUUCCACGAUAAAUAUAUAUUUGUUUAACGUAUUUUUUCUUCUCCCUUAAAAAACAACCUGACAGUCUUAUCUGGUAACACAAAAUAUGUAAGUUAAAGCAAACUUUCUAAGCAACACCUGUACUUUAUCAGUGUGGUGCCCUAAAGUUCCCCUUCUUUGGGAGCCUCUUAAUUUUGGUCUCUGAGAUGUGCUCUGGGGAAGAGGAUCAAUGGAUUUAGUGUGGGGAGAGGCUGUAGUCAUGUUUCAGCUACUUAGAUGUUCCAUUCCAAUUAUGCACAUUUGACCACCACACAAAAAAAAUGUUCUGCUCUAACAUUCUCACAGGUUUUUAUCCAUAAGACAUUCUUGGGCUAAACCAAGGCAACACUAACACAGAAGAGAAUGCUAGCUAAUUUACUGAGUGCUGUCUUAUGUCAAUCCUUUGUGUUUACCCUAUAACCUGAGUAUGAUUAUUCCCAUUUUGCAUGUGGUUAGACUAAGGCUUCAUGAGCUUAUGUAACUUGCCCUCACCUGCCAAGCAGCAUGUGUCAGCCUCGAAACAAGUAAGUACAUAAAAGGCGAGUGCAAACUUCCCCUCAAAAUGAGAGGAACGACACAGUGAUGCUUUGCGUUUUUGAAGCUCUUGUCUUCGAAUAAUUCAAAGGAUUCUAUAGGUUUAUUGGAAAUGCAACAAACCUUUAAAAGGUUUGAAGGAUUUCUUUUUCUUUCUUUUUAAUACUUCUGGGACAAUAUGCAUAGUAUUCUUGAAGAGAGAGCAAAAGGUAUUAUUUCCAUAUCAGAAAUAAGUACAAACAGGGCAGCCCGGGUGGCUUAGCGGUUUAGCGCCGCCUUCGACACAGGGCAUGAUCCUGGAGACCCGGGAUCGAUUCCCGC
Canis lupus familiaris (dog) is the source of this 3834-nucleotide long non-coding RNA. RefSeq lists it as uncharacterized. The transcript has 3 exons. The record is from RefSeq and is a predicted model, not a curated record. Lineage: Eukaryota; Metazoa; Chordata; Mammalia; Carnivora; Canidae.